CUCCCGUCCACCGCAAUAUGCGACAACUAAUCAUCGCCUCUCCGUCACCGCCACCGAUCCACUAGCUAGAUUCCGGCGAACUCCUUCUCCCGUGACACGGCCGCAGCUGCGCUUCCACCUCGGCGUUCUGGUGCUCGUGGCGACAUUGAUGCACCUUGUCGACCGUGUGCCCAUCGCCCUGCGCCCAGCCGUCGUCCGUCGGAACGCGGUGUCAGGGGAAGCCGC
This 225-nucleotide long non-coding RNA is filed under the name Setaria italica (foxtail millet). Its description in RNAcentral is "long non-coding RNA (SITA_LNC000287)". The record is from RNAcentral. Lineage: Eukaryota; Viridiplantae; Streptophyta; Magnoliopsida; Poales; Poaceae.